RNAcentral lists this ribosomal RNA (465 nucleotides) under Vreelandella stevensii. RNAcentral's name for it is "partial 16S ribosomal RNA". It matches the Rfam family "Bacterial small subunit ribosomal RNA", at positions 338 to 795 of the family's 1533-position model. The record is from RNAcentral. Lineage: Bacteria; Pseudomonadati; Pseudomonadota; Gammaproteobacteria; Oceanospirillales; Halomonadaceae.
CCUACGGGAGGCAGCAGUGGGGAAUAUUGGACAAUGGGGGGAACCCUGAUCCAGCCAUGCCGCGUGUGUGAAGAAGGCCCUCGGGUUGUAAAGCACUUUCAGUGAGGAAGAACGCCUGGUGGUUAAUACCCAUCAGGAAAGACAUCACUCACAGAAGAAGCACCGGCUAACUCCGUGCCAGCAGCCGCGGUAAUACGGAGGGUGCGAGCGUUAAUCGGAAUUACUGGGCGUAAAGCGCGCGUAGGUGGCUUGAUAAGCCGGUUGUGAAAGCCCUGGGCUCAACCUGGGAACGGCAUCCGGAACUGUCAAGCUAGAGUGCAGGAGAGGAAGGUAGAAUUCCCGGUGUAGCGGUGAAAUGCGUAGAGAUCGGGAGGAAUACCAGUGGCGAAGGCGGCCUUCUGGACUGACACUGACACUGAGGUGCGAAAGCGUGGGUAGCAAACAGGAUUAGAUACCCUUGUAGUC